Non-coding RNA from Paramuricea clavata, 544 nucleotides. The record is from the annotation of a GenBank genome assembly. NCBI's taxonomy places the organism in Eukaryota, Metazoa, Cnidaria, Anthozoa, Malacalcyonacea, Plexauridae.
UUACUGACUAUCUAGGCAAAGUGUUUAACCGAGGCUCACCCACAUAUAGUAAUACUCACUUGUUUUGUUAUUGUUUACACUUCCAUGGCAAAAGCAAGGUGGAAUGAUUUGGUUACCAGAAAAUAUCAUGCAAGGACCAGGUGAUGAGAUGUCAGAGUGCCAUAAGUGCUGACGUCCAGAAUUUGAAAAGGCCGGCCCAUUUGGAUAUUGCCCUAAAUAAUAUCUGUAUUACCCGAUGACUAGGAAGGCACAAGGAUAUUGCAGAAAGCAACCUAAUACCGUUCACUCAACAUGGUCAUUGGGCAAGUGAACUAGGUGAGGCUGUCCUCAUACAACUAAUGCACCUAUCAAUGUUAAGCCCCAGAGGGAGGGUGGACAUAGGUGGGGCAUUUGAUUUUUUGAGCAAAUUUUCAAUCAAAUGCCCCACCGUCGGGCAAUAAAUAUUGGUCAAAUACCCCACCAUUUUGCAAUAAAUACUAUAUUAAUAAGUCAUAAUCGGUUCAAAUUUCCCCAACUUGGGGCCAAAAUGGUAAUCGAAAUCCCC